This 424-nucleotide ribosomal RNA is filed under the name uncultured prokaryote. RNAcentral's name for it is "bacterial SSU rRNA". It matches the Rfam family "Bacterial small subunit ribosomal RNA", at positions 355 to 796 of the family's 1533-position model. The record is from RNAcentral.
UAACGAAUCUUCCGCAAUGCGCGAAAGCGUGACGGAGCAAUGCCGCGUGCAGGAUGAAGCCCUUCGGGGUGUAAACUGCUGUCAGGGGCUACCAAGUUCUGAGGAACCCCAAAGGAAGGGCCGGCUAACUUCGUGCCAGCAGCCGCGGUAAUACGAAGGGCCCAAGCGUUAUUCGGAAUCACUGGGCUUAAAGCGUACGCAGGCUGGUGUGCAGGUAUCUUGUGAAAUCCCUCCGCUCAACGGAGGAACUGCAGGGUAAACCGCACAUCUUGAGACAGGUAGGGGCGGUCGGAACGAUAGGUGGAGUGGUGAAAUGCGUUGAUAUCUAUCGGAACGCCAAAGGAGAAAUCAGGCCGCUGGGCCUGUUCUGACGCUGAGGUACGAAAGCGUGGGUAGCGAACGGGAUUAGAUACCCCCGUAGUCC